This 254-nucleotide ribosomal RNA is filed under the name uncultured bacterium. RNAcentral's name for it is "partial 16S ribosomal RNA". It matches the Rfam family "Bacterial small subunit ribosomal RNA", at positions 524 to 776 of the family's 1533-position model. The record is from RNAcentral.
UACGUAGGGUGCGAGCGUUGUCCGGAAUUAUUGGGCGUAAAGAGCUCGUAGGCGGUCUGUCACGUCGGCUGUGAAAUCCCGUGGAGCUCAACCUCGGGUCUGCAGUCGAUACGGGCAAACUAGAGUAUUGCAGGGGAGACUGGAAUUCCUGGUGUAGCGGUGAAAUGCGCAGAUAUCAGGAGGAACACCGGUGGCGAAGGCGGGUCUCUGGGCAAUAACUGACGCUGAGGAGCGAAAGCGUGGGAGCGAACAGG